AACUGUAAGACAGUGGUGCAUGGUUGUCGUCAGCUCGUGUCGUGAGAUGUUGGGUUAAGUCCCGCAACGAGCGCAACCCCUAUGUUUAGUUGCUAGCGAGUAAAGUCGAGCACUCUAGACAGACUGCCGGUGAUAAACCGGAGGAAGGUGGGGAUGACGUCAAAUCAUCAUGCCCCUUAUGUUCUGGGCUACACACGUGCUACAAUGGCCGGUACAAACGGAAGCGAAGCCGCGAGGUGAAGCAAAUCUGAUAAAACCGGUCUCAGUUCGGAUUGCAGGCUGCAACUCGCCUGCAUAAAGUCGGAAUCGCUAGUAAUCGCAGGUCAGCAUACUGCGGUGAAUACGUUCCCGGGCCUU
RNAcentral lists this ribosomal RNA (357 nucleotides) under uncultured Desulfosporosinus sp. RNAcentral's name for it is "bacterial SSU rRNA". It matches the Rfam family "Bacterial small subunit ribosomal RNA", at positions 1025 to 1382 of the family's 1533-position model. Lineage: Bacteria; Bacillati; Bacillota; Clostridia; Eubacteriales; Desulfitobacteriaceae. The record is from RNAcentral.